RNAcentral lists this ribosomal RNA (468 nucleotides) under uncultured bacterium. Its description in RNAcentral is "partial 16S ribosomal RNA". It matches the Rfam family "Bacterial small subunit ribosomal RNA", at positions 28 to 507 of the family's 1533-position model. The record is from RNAcentral.
GACGGACGCUGGCGGCGUGCUUAACACAUGCAAGUCGAACGGCAAGGCCCUGCUUUUGUGGGGUGCUCGAGUGGCGAACGGGUGAGUAACACGUGAGUAACCUGCCCUUGACUUUGGGAUAACUUCAGGAAACUGGGGCUAAUACCGGAUAGGAGCUCCUGCUGCAUGGUGGGGGUUGGAAAGUUUCGGCGGUUGGGGAUGGACUCGCGGCUUAUCAGCUUGUUGGUUGGGUAGUGGCUUACCAAGGCUUUGACGGGUAGCCGGCCUGAGAGGGUUACCGGCCACAUUGGGACUGAGAUACGGCCCAGACUCCUACGGGAGGCAGCAGUGGGGAAUAUUGCACAAUGGGCGGAAGCCUGAUGCAGCAACGCCGCGUGCGGGAUGACGGCCUUCGGGUUGUAAACCGCUUUCGCCUGUGACGAAGCGUGAGUGACGGUAAUGGGUAAAGAAGCACCGGCUAACUACGUG